GGGUUUUCCACAAACUUCAGCACUGCCUCCAGGAGAAAUCAAGCCGCUGUUUCAGUGCAGCCAAUGCACAGUCCCUGGUCGGGGAUGCUGGGAAUAAUGCUAGUGCCCUCUCUGGAAAGGGAGCCUCCUGGGGCGUGUUGCUGGUCGGAGGGCCUGGCAGUGGGAAGACAGCCCUGUGCACUGAGCUCCUGUGGCCCAGUUCCCCCGCCAGCCUGCAGAGAGGUCUGCAUCGGCAGGCUUUGGCUUUCCACUUCUGCAAAGCCCAGGACUCGGACACACUGUGUGUCGGGGGGUUUAUCAGAGGUCUGGUAGCCCAGAUCUGCCAAAGCGGACUCCUCCAAGGUUAUGAGGACAAGCUAAGAGAUCCAGCCGUCCAAAGUCUCCUAGAGCCCGGAGAGUGUGAGAGGAACCC
This 412-nucleotide long non-coding RNA is filed under the name Rattus norvegicus (Norway rat). RNAcentral describes it as "long non-coding RNA NONRATT016353". The record is from RNAcentral. Lineage: Eukaryota; Metazoa; Chordata; Mammalia; Rodentia; Muridae.